UGACACCAGCCUGUCGGGGCCCGUCACCAUCUCGGUGCACGUGGCGGGCGAGGACGCGAGGACGCUCAGCGACUGAUAGUCGAGUACAACUGCAGCAGACAGCAGACAGCCGGGCGUGGAGGCCCCCCGUCCCGCCGUGGCAUGGCCGUAGCCGCAUAGCCCGUGCAUGUUGUGUUGCUAACCGCACCACAGAAGGCUCACGGUGGCUAAAAGAAUCCCCCGUCGUCGGUACCCCGCGCGCAAGCCGCAGGCAGGCGGCGAUACCCCUCGCUGACUCAUGUGCACGCGCGCAGGGAGUAUCGACGGACUAUUCUGCCGAUAAGUGAGUUGCGGUGGCUGUAUUCGCAGGAAACAGCAGCAGACAGCACAGUGCAGCACCUAACCUGCCGACUGGCUGGUCUGCAGAGUAAUAUUUAUGCUCUUUCAAAGAAAUAGUUUUAUGACAGCAAUGUUGCGUGGUAGAUUAUUGUCUGGCCUGAUAAGGCUAUCUUCUUCCUGUGUUGUUCCUUCUCCAGCUCCAUCGAGCUCUGUCAACAGUCCUGAUGUUGACAGUGAUGGAACUAGUGAUGCAAACAAGGAUCUUGCAGUGGACGAAACGUGGAUCCCUUCAAACAACAAGCAUUAUGUUAAAAAGAAAAAGAUUACUCGUCCUCGUUUUGCUAUGCUGCUUUCCUUCCAUGGUUCAAACUAUUAUGGGAUGCAAUUCAAUUCACAUGGCCCUGCAAUUGAAAACAUACUGUUUGAUGCGUUUAUCAAAAUUGGUCUUCUACCUGAGGAGAAAAUACGGGCUGCUAGAUAUUAUCUAGAUUAUCAACGAGCAUCUCGAACAGAUAGAGGUGUAUCUGCUUUGAGGCAGGUCGUUUCAUUAAGAAUAACUAAGGGUUUUAACAUCGAUGGUAUAAAUGAAUUUUUGCCUGAUGAUAUACGUGUCCUUGGAAUUAAACCUGUUGAUAUGAUUUUUGAUGCCCAAACCUGGUGUACUGCCAGAACUUACAGUUAUAUCAUGCCAACUUAUGCACUGCGUUACUUUGACAAAAGUUGGAAUGACUGUCACAAAUAUCGCAUUGAUUCGCUUUCAGUUUUGAAAGCAAGUCAGAUAUUUGAAAUGUUUAGAGGAACUCACCAUUUUCACAACUACACUGAAAAAAUAGAUAUCUGGGAUCAGAGAUCUCAAAGGAAAAUAAACGACACAGAAGUCUCAAAUCCUUUCUUGAUGGGUGAAGUUGAAAUGAUUGAAUUCAAACUUACAGGUCAAAGCUUUAUGCUUCAUCAGAUUAGAAGGAUGAUUGGGAUGGUAAUAGCAAUAAUGCGAGGGAAGGCAACAUUUUCCAUGUUACAAGAAACUUUGGAGCACCCUAUGAUGCCAGCACCUACAGCCCCAGCAUUAGGCCUCCUCUUAGAAAAGCUUACUUUUCUAACAUUGUAUCCUCCCUUAGCAACAUUUUGAUAGCUACAAUAAGAGUCGUAAGACCACAAUGCCUUUGGAAUGGGAUGAGUAUGAUGAUGAGGUGGAGAAGUUCAAACUGGAAAAAAUAGUGCCAUACAUGGUGAAGGUGGAACUAGAACAAAAGCAUAUGGAGACUUA
This 1585-nucleotide unclassified non-coding RNA is filed under the name Thrips palmi. RNAcentral describes it as "tRNA pseudouridine synthase 1-like, transcript variant X2". The record is from RNAcentral. Lineage: Eukaryota; Metazoa; Arthropoda; Insecta; Thysanoptera; Thripidae.